CCUGGAGCCUGGUGUGACGCAUGACCUCAAUACUGUGGGUUUCUUUCCAAUUGGCCAUGCUCAUAUGUUGCUCCCUGCAUGUUAGUUUCUUAAUUAAUACCUAAUACAUAGGCAUAUCCUGCGAGCUAGGACCUUAUUUUCAUUCUUGGUGGAGUGAUUGUUUGCAUAAGCAAUUCUCUGAAAUCUCAGGGUCAGUGAUUGACAAUUUUGAUAGUGUUAAUUAAGAAGAAAAUUGCCUCCUCCUUGUACAUGUAAGCUCAUUCCAAAUUAUACUUAAGAAUAAACUGAUACAAUCCAAAACGUGAUGGCAAACAUACAUUCAAGGUCAAGGACAUAGCCUUAUAUACCCGCAAAAAGGAAGGAAAAAAAAAAACAUAUAGUCAAAGCUCUUAUUAUACAUACAUCACCUCUCUUAUUUCUCUCAAAUUCGACAAAAAGUAUCGUAUCCUCAAGGUUUUUUGGAGUGUGCUUUAGUAGCACAAGCAGAACCAAGAGUUUGAUAGUUAACAUAUCGACUUGGAGCUGAUGAAUGCUUAGACCCUUUUGGCAUACAACCCUUAACUUCCUUCUCAUGGAAAACCUCCUGUUUAUUAUGAUUCAGUACUUGAGGAUUCAUCUUCACAUAAUCCACGGAUGCAGGCCUCAUUGUGCUAGGAACGCUUGAUGGGAUAUCACGACCGCCCAUAGCAACGUCCGGAGAAGAAGAAAACAUCAAGAGGAGAUAGAUGAAAAUUAUGCAAAAUAUUGUGGCAGACAUGUUGGAAAGUGAUCGUACUGUUUCUUCUAUUCUUCUUUUGUGUUUUUUUUUUCCCGUAAUAGUUUGGUUUCCUCGUGAGUUGGAGAGGUUUUUGAAAGGGUUUUAUUAUGGGAGAGGGUUUUUAAAGGGAGUGGCUAAGGAAAGUAUCGAAUGGGGGGUCUUAAAUAGGCUCGUGAGUAGCUGAAAAUAAAGAAGAUAAUCAAGAUAUGAGUCGUAAGUCAUUGCUAUAGCGUUGCAUUAGUUUUGAAGAGUGAGGUGAUGUUAAGUUGGUGAGCAAAGAUAAGAGACAUGAGACUAGAAAAAACAGUAUUGCAUUAACUAAGAAAGACUCUUUACGAAUGGAGCUCUCAGUUCGCUCUUUAACGUUUGCAUCCUACUCCAAGACAUUUGGAGAUCCCUGGCCAAAAUUCCAGAGUGUGCUAGACCACAGAGUCUGUUCUUUGAUUGGUGAGAAAUCAAAAGAACAUAGAAUAAAAUUAUCCAUUGUAUCUUCUGCUCUGCCAGAAACAAUUGCUUCAGUGGCCAUUAGUGCAACAGUUGUGGGUGCAGCAGCAACAUUUCUUGUUAGGAGAACUAAAGCUUCUGAUGCAACUGAGGUUCCAUUGAGACCAUGUGAAGAUUGUGGGGGUUCUGGGAUAUGUUCAGAGUGUAAAGGUGAAGGAUUUGUGUUGAAGAAAAUGUCAGAGGACAGUGCUGAAAGGGCAAGAAUGACAGCAAAGAAUAUGGCCACUCGAUACACAGCUGGACUUCCCAAGAAAUGGAGCUACUGCACAAAGUGUUCUUCUGCUCGAUCUUGUACUACUUGUGGAGGCAGUGGAAAGUUAAGCUACUAGUUUUGCUCUAACCAUUUUGAUGCUUCAAACAAUGUUGUUCUUUUCACCCAAAAUUUUGCUGCCCCAUGGAAGAAUAGGAUCAAUAUUCGCCUAAGAAUAGAAAUUUACGAGGUUUCUAAACAGAAUUUGAAGCACUAGUGAUUGCUGAAUGAGAAAAUAUAUAGUUACAGAAAGAGAG
Durio zibethinus is the source of this 1768-nucleotide non-coding RNA. The record is from RefSeq and is a predicted model, not a curated record. NCBI's taxonomy places the organism in Eukaryota, Viridiplantae, Streptophyta, Magnoliopsida, Malvales, Malvaceae.